RNAcentral lists this non-coding RNA (45 nucleotides) under Schistosoma mansoni. The record is from RNAcentral. Lineage: Eukaryota; Metazoa; Platyhelminthes; Trematoda; Strigeidida; Schistosomatidae.
AUGCAGCUGAUGAGUCCUAGAUAGGACGAAACGCGCGUUCUGGAU